AUGGACAGGUCAUAAACCAUUGCCAAGGCUUCAGUUAUAACUGACCUCAACCGCAGUGUGUGCUCAGCAUUAAUUAUUCUGGAGGAAGUCCUAGUUAAGAUAGAAACUUACCUGACAUCAGCAAUUCUCCAGACUUGAGCCAUGAAGCACCAAAGAAGAAAGAAACACCUUGAACCCUCACUGUUAGAACAAGCUGAACAGAGAUUCAGAGGUUAAGUUACUAAAUGAGGAGAAGCCAUAUGGAAAGAGACUUUGAAGAAUAAGAGAGCAUUUUGGACAUUUCAACCACAGACUCCCAGCUGAACAUUGUUGAGUCUUCUAAGAAUUACAAGCAAAAAUAGCUGAAGCAUCUCAAGCUGAACCCAAC
Long non-coding RNA from Cavia porcellus (domestic guinea pig), 367 nucleotides. RefSeq lists it as uncharacterized. The transcript has 3 exons. The record is from RefSeq and is a predicted model, not a curated record. NCBI's taxonomy places the organism in Eukaryota, Metazoa, Chordata, Mammalia, Rodentia, Caviidae.